GACGAACGCUGGCGGCGUGCCUAAUACAUGCAAGUCGAGCGCGGAAGGGUCGUACGCGUACCAACUAGUUGAGCAGGGGACGGGUGAGUAACGCGUGGGUAAUCUUCCGUUUAGCGGGGGACAACGUUUGGUAACGAAUGCUAGUACAGCAUAAAAGUUUUAAACAGAAGUGUUAAGAAUGAAAGAUUCAAUUUCAUAGCUCACAGAUGAUCCUGCGUUGUAUUAGCUAGUUGGUGAGGUAAAGGUUUACCAAGGCGAUGAUACAUAGCCGACCUGAGAGGGUGAUCAGCCACAUUGGGACUGAGACACGGCCCAGACUCCUACGGGAGGCAGCAGUAGGGAAUAUUAGGCAAUAGACGAAAGUCUGACGGAGCAACGCCGCGUGAGUGAAGAAGGUUUUCGGAUCGUAAAACUCUGUUGGUAGAGACGAAUGCUGGUGAGAGUAGAAAGCUCAUCAAGUGACGGUACCUACACAGAAAGGAACGGCUAACUCCGUG
Molecule: ribosomal RNA, 497 nt
Filed under: uncultured bacterium
Lineage: Bacteria
Description: partial 16S ribosomal RNA
Rfam family: Bacterial small subunit ribosomal RNA
Source: RNAcentral